GAGAUAAUAGUAUAAUUAAGUAUGUUUCUUUUUCGCAGAAUCGGUUCUUUAUCUUA
Molecule: transfer RNA, 56 nt
Filed under: Caenorhabditis afra
Lineage: Eukaryota; Metazoa; Nematoda; Chromadorea; Rhabditida; Rhabditidae
Description: tRNA-Glu
Source: RNAcentral